AGACGGGCAGAACAUCGUCCGCUUAUGUGGAGACACACGCACACACGAUCAGGGUAAGACCAGAGCAUUUCUCUUUCUCCCUGCACGUGGCAGCCUCCCUCCUCUCCGACUGUCGCGGCGCAUAUCGAGGUUUCUUGUACACCUUCUCCCACACCCCUACCUCCAUUAUCAACCGCAUGUGGGCUCGGCGGCGUAUAUUCCCGACUGUGGCGGUGCCGGCCACUCCGCACACGGCGGCGCUACGCACCCCGCUCUACGAUGAGCAAUGCAAUGAUAAGGCACGAGCAGCAGCCUUAACAUUGGAGGACAGCGCCUUCAACUUCGUUUCCGGUCUUGGCUACACUCUUGUCCCCGCCCUCGGCGCUGAGGAAGCGGCAGCGCUGCUGUCGUGGGCACUACCGCCUGAGUGGGCUGGAGACGGCAGCGUGUCAGAUGAGCUGCGGGCUUCGCGGCUGGCGGCAGCGCUGCACAACGCCGCUGUUCUCGGUGCGUGUACGCAGGUGGAGUACUUCUUCUUUGGCACAGACAACGGGCACGCCUUUCUCAUGCCAUUACUGCCUCCACACCUCCUCGAAGCCCUCGUUGCGGAGUGCGGCGAGACCACGCUGCCCGAGCUAGCCCAUCUCUGGAAACGCGAGACGGAGCUGGCGCAGGCGGCGGCGCGCGGCGAUGCUUUGGCCGCACGCGCCAUCGCAGAGGGCGGUCGCGCACCGCUCAACUGCGUCGGCCGUCGACUUCUGCACCGCCACGCCCGCGAGGAGCCGGUGACAGUCGUGGACCACCUAGGUACACUCUUCGCCUCCGCGGCAUCCUCUGGGGACACGAGUGUUGCAGUGAGCGUGUUUCAUCCUGUACCGGUUGGCAUUACGUGUCUGCCGCACCCGUCCGCGGUGCGGAGCACCAGAUUAUGGGAAGGUUCCGCCUUCACCCCAACGCCGAGUCGUAGCAAGGCUGGGGAAGAGAGCGACACGUCACUGCAAGGCGCGCUGCAGCACUGGCGCAAUGCCGUCCACGCCGCCGAGCCCACAGCUGUGUAUGUCUUCACUGGCGACGACACCGGUCUCGUGCGGCUGUGGCGUGUCGACGUGGUCGCCCGCUCCUAUACGCUGCAGCACGUGCUCAUGUGCAGUGCGAACAUGACGGGCAUGCUGUCCCCUCUCAGCCCGUUUGCGCGCGAGGACAACUCGAAGAAGGUGCCGUCCCGAGAUGCCGGCCGCGUCGUGCACUGUUUAGAAGUAGAUGAGCUGGCAGGCCGGGUGUUUGCCGGGACAGAGGGCGGUGUGUAUGUGUGGGCCAUCAACGCAUUGCCGUGGCGCGGUCCGGAGUCACCGUCAGCCGACGCGCUCGCCGCGCACCACCCGCUCUGCUGGGACGAGGAGCACCAAGCGCCGCUUCCCUGCGCGUUGUUGCGCUACGAGGCGUCGCUGCGGCAUGACUCCGACGCAGGCAGCAUGCUUCCUACAGCCUCUAGUGCCAAUUCUGAGAAGAUUGUGGAGUACCGCGCUUCGCGGCUCGCCAACCAUCACGUGUGGGUGCUGCCUGCAUCGAUUGUGCAGUCGGAGAUGGCGCGCGCGAUGGAGCGCGGUGGCAGCAGCGCCGGCCAGGUGAGCAGGUGGAAGCCCAAGCACGGUCGUAUGGUCACAGGCGGGGCGGCGGUCGGCGUGGUGUGGAACACUGUCAAGCUGAGCACGGCGGCGGUUUCCGGCGGCGGCGCCACAGUGGGCGACCGAUUAACGGACACGGUCGUGCCAGUUUCCUUCGAAGGCGGUGAGCUCAGGAAUGACCUGCGGGUGCCGCUCAGCUGCGUUGUGCCGGUCGUGUACCCGCUCGCCUUCCUCCGAACGCCAGGGACAGCGUGUUUUGCGCUUCGUGUGCUUGCCGGGAACCGUCGCCUCGUGACCAGCUGUGCCGAUGGCAGGGUGUGCGUGUGGACGUGCCGCCCGGACAAAGACGCCUGCACAGCUGUCGCCGAGACCUACGUGCCGCAGCUUGUGACGAGCACACGGCAGGAGCUUCGCGGCCUCGGGCGCCACAUUUGCGUGCUGCGCACCCCAGACGUAUUCGUCACAUGCUCCUACGAUGACGGCCUCGUGAAAGAGUGGCACGUGUACGACGAGCCGGAGGCACUGCUGCUGUGUGCGCGUCGCUUCGCCCUGGCGCCGUACCCCUCUGAAGGCAGCAGGGUGCAGCAGCAGCAGCAGCAGCAGCUCGCCGACGCCUUCAAGAGCAUGCACAAGCCCAAAACAGCCAACGUUGCGAUAGCAGGUAGCAACAGCGACGAGGUGUCGGCGGACGACGGUGAGGAUGGCGACGUUGUUGGUGGAAUCUCCUGCGCCGCCGCCUACCCCGCCUUCGGUGCUCUCUUCCUCGUUGGCGCCUUCGAGUCCGUCAUUCAGACGUACAGCCUCACGGAGGUGGCCGGCUGCGAGCCGCCGCGCGACUACGUGUACAAUGGCCACAAGACGGUGCGGCUGCCCGCCUCCAUGGCCGAAGACGUCUACCACGAGCUGCCAGCCAAGUAAGCGGCGACAAAGAGG
RNAcentral lists this unclassified non-coding RNA (2537 nucleotides) under Leishmania donovani. RNAcentral describes it as "gene:LdHU3.13.1580(CDS-product:hypothetical_prote in_conserved)". The record is from RNAcentral. Lineage: Eukaryota; Euglenozoa; Kinetoplastea; Trypanosomatida; Trypanosomatidae.